UUCCAAGAGUUUUUUAAGUGUUCUCAUGGCAGGCUAAUUGGCUUACCUCUAAAGAAAGCAACCUACGUGAUUGAGAAGGAAGCUGAAACACCUUCUGUGACCUUGUCUUGGAAGCCACUCAUUGUAGCUUCAGUUGUCUUCUACUGUAUUGGUCACGUAUACAUAAUGAAUAUAUCUCUGAUACACAAUGAAAAAUAGCUACACUGGGUAAAGGAGACAAUGUCAGCUCAAAGAGGGCCAGGGAAUUCAAUAUGGCUGCAUUGCAUGAAGAAGGCUGUGCAUGGAGAAGAGGCUGGUUAGAGGAGAUGACACUAAAUCCUGGUGAGUCUUGAGCUCUAUACAGGGAGUGGAAAGCACUCAGCAAUGAUUUAGCCAAGGGGAGAGAGAGAAGAUGUUUGAGGAGAGAGACAGCAUUAUCAUACACAUGCAAAAAAAAAAAAAAAAAAGAGGGGGCAAUAAGUAGGAGGCACUAAGUUUAGUGAGUAUCUCUGGUUGAAGAAAUGAUGACUAUUUAAAAAUGAUUACUAUUUUAGAUCAUCUCCAGUUUCCAAUCUUGUGUGUGUGUGUGUGUGUGUGUGUGUGUGUGUGUGUGUGUGUGCAUAUGUCUGUGCAUGUGUGUGUGUGUUUGCUUUUGGUAACAAUUUUUAAACAGAACACAUGAAGUUGUUUUUAAAGGAUAAGACACAAAUGUGGCAGAGAAGAGGCUAGUGAAAGCGGUGUCUAGAGAACUCGGUUCUGGAGGCUAAAGGGGGUCAGCAGAGGAGUGUUGUCCUUUAAUGGUGGCUUGUGGCAUCCAAAACUCCUGAUGAAUUAUUUUAUGUUAUGAAAUAUUAUGAGGUGGGACCCUUAUGAGAUAUUUAGAGAUACAUAGCCUUAGUGGACUCGUGGAUUGAUAUAUCUUGGGAGAGUGUCUGUUUUUACAACUCUAGUGUGAUCCCUGUCUCAUCCUAUAUGUGAUGUGACGUGCACUUUGAGACUCUUAUCAGCAAUAAGGCCAUCCCCAGAUAUAGGGUCUUGAUCCUGAACCAGAACAAUGGGAAAAAAGAAACUUUCCUCUCUAAUUUAUUAGCAACAGAAAUGGACUCAAAUGGUAUGGAAGAAGAUGUUACUGAUGUAUUCUGAAUGCACAUUAUCUGGGGUUUUUUUUGUGUAUAUUCAUAAAGCUA
RNAcentral lists this long non-coding RNA (1166 nucleotides) under Mus musculus (house mouse). RNAcentral's name for it is "long non-coding RNA chr13:36717596-36718762". The record is from RNAcentral. Lineage: Eukaryota; Metazoa; Chordata; Mammalia; Rodentia; Muridae.